AGAUUGUUUUACAAAUUCCUAAUUGCAAGAAACACUUACAUGAAGAACUUAGUGAAGGCUGCUUCAAUGGGCCCUCUGAGAGAGGCACUUCCUCAGGGAUUUGAAAUCACAAAGCUGAAAAAGGAGGAUAUGAGGCCCGUAACAGUGAAGGUAAUUUACAGCACAUAGAGAAAAUUAAAGAACAGAACCUAUCUAGGAAUACAUAAAUCUCGCUGCACUGCCUCCUUGUACAGUUUAAAAAUGGAACUUUAAUACAUAAAUUGAGAGCGAAUCAAAUUAUUCAUUUGACAGUUUUAACCAUAUACCAUUGUCAGUCUGCUGUAAUCUGCUACAAAAUUACCACAGCCACAGCAAAAGCUACAAACAAAAAUGAUUUAAAAUUGCCUAUUACUUUCACUCCAGAGCUAGUUUACUCCUUUGUUAAAAUUGCCUAUUGCUUUCAUUCCAGAGCUAGUAAUUCAGAAAUGAAUCACCUACCAAAAGCUGGACAACCAAGCAAGUUUUCCUGUCCAUUUAUACUCUCCCCUGAACAACGACCCAUAUGUUGCUGCAAGCCUGUAAACCUUGACAGGACAUUACAGUUAUUUUGAUGUUACAUAAAUCUCCAAAUUCUUCUCUGUUUAAUCUGAACAUAUAGUUGCGCCUACAUGACUGAGCACUACCCAAAACAAAGGAUAUCAUUAAAAAUGAGGAAAAAAAAAAACUACACUACUUACCUGUAAAGUAUUUAAACAUUCACCAAGAUGAAGUAAGGUUCAUCUAACGCCUUUCAGAAUCUAGAUAUUCAAAUCCUCAACUCUUUCCACAAUUGUCACAUAUUUUUUUGAAACAUUUUUCUUAGUGUGAAAAAUAUUUCAGUCAUAUAUCACAAUAAUUGUCACCUUAAUUCACCAGAUUCAGGACUGAAUCAACAAAUAAACUGUCAGGACAACUUUUUCCUUUCUCCAGGAACCGCGUGUAGGAAAAAAGACAGGGUAACCACUCCCCAGAAGAAUUAAGCGUGAAUCACAAAUUAGAGGAGACCGCUCGACAACACAAUUAAAAUCGAAAUUCAAAAUUCUCCCAAACAAAAGCAAGUUGCUAAGAAACAUGAUCCGAACUCGAAACCCUAACAAGUCUCUAGAUGUAAAAAAAUCGAUUAAUUAAAAAAAAAGAAAAAAAAGAUAGCAAUAUUACCAGUUGGAGCGAGACAGAGGAAAAGGAGUGAGUAGAGUAGAUAGAUCUGCAAUCAAAAGUUCUGUAGGAAAAAUAGCUUGGAUUUGGAGUGCGGCGGAGGAUUCCAAAGAAAAAGAGAUCGCUAUGUGCUAAUGCGUGCGAGGAGGACUGAUUUUGGGGCCGGAAGAGCGGCUACCCUGCCGCUGGUGCUGGGUGGACGCGGAUCGAGUUGGCCCAGAUUUGAGCUGGGGAAUAUGAUGAGUAGGGACUGGCGUUCUCCUUCACCUUUUACUUCAUCGAUAAGGAAAGCGAAUAGGAAGACUUGCUAUUUUCUGGAAUACAUUCUAUUAUUAUCGAAAAAUAAGGGAAUGUUAUUCAAUUUUAUUAUCAAGAAAGGACAUGUGACCUGAAAAUAUCGAUACCUU
Molecule: long non-coding RNA, 1580 nt
Filed under: Coffea arabica (coffee)
Lineage: Eukaryota; Viridiplantae; Streptophyta; Magnoliopsida; Gentianales; Rubiaceae
Description: long non-coding RNA (CARA_LNC003648)
Source: RNAcentral